GAGGAAAAGAAACUAACAAGGAUUCCCCUAGUAACGGCGAGUGAACCGGGAAAAGCUCAAAUUUGAAAUCUGGCUGUCUUCGAUAGUCCGAGUUGUAAUCUAUAGAAGCGUUUUCCGUGCUGAACUGUGUCUAAGUCCCUUGGAACAGGGUAUCAAAGAGGGUGAUAAUCCCGUACUUGACACAACAAUCAGUGCUCUGUGAUACGUUCUCUACGAGUCGAGUUGUUUGGGAAUGCAGCUCAAAAUGGGUGGUAAAUUCCAUCUAAAGCUAAAUAUUGGCGAGAGACCGAUAGCGAACAAGUACCGUGAGGGAAAGAUGAAAAGCACUUUGGAAAGAGAGUUAAACAGUACGUGAAAUUGUUGAAAGGGAAACGAUUGAAGUCAGUCGUGUUCAUUGGAUUCAGCUAGUUCUUCUAGUCUACUUCCUUUGAACGGGUCAACAUCAGUUUUGUCCGGUGGAUAAAGGAUUUAGGAAUGUAACUCCCUCGGGAGUGUUAUAGCCUAGGUUCACAUACACUGGGUGAGACUGAGGACUGCAGCUCGCCUUUUGGCCGGGGUUCGCCCACGUUCGAGCUUAGGAUGUUGACAUAAUGGCUUUAAACGACCCGUCUUG
This 613-nucleotide ribosomal RNA is filed under the name Apiotrichum domesticum. Its description in RNAcentral is "partial large subunit ribosomal RNA". It matches the Rfam family "Eukaryotic large subunit ribosomal RNA", at positions 53 to 656 of the family's 3401-position model. Lineage: Eukaryota; Fungi; Basidiomycota; Tremellomycetes; Trichosporonales; Trichosporonaceae. The record is from RNAcentral.